This is a long non-coding RNA of Eriocheir sinensis (Chinese mitten crab), 2209 nucleotides long. RefSeq lists it as uncharacterized. The transcript is spliced from 5 exons. The record is from RefSeq and is a predicted model, not a curated record. Lineage: Eukaryota; Metazoa; Arthropoda; Malacostraca; Decapoda; Varunidae.
CACCAAUCAGCUGUUCCGCCAAUCAGCUGAUCCCCACGUGUGAAGUGAGCCAAGGCAGACACGCCCACCCCUGCCUCCUUUGCCGCCCCUGGGAGACAUUCCUACGCCCCUGGAAGCGAGUCCUGCCCCCUGUGACGAUUUAUAAGUCCUUUCUAGAUGCCCGAGUCAAUCAUGGGAACAUAAAUAACGGAAAAUAACAGAACUACAUGGAGAAAUGACGGGAGGAGUUACUGGCAUGGCGGCGGUGAGGUGGAUGUGCUGGGGCGGAGUUGAAGGUCUUGCUGCUGAAUCCUUUAUUAAGAAGACUAAAGGAGGAAUGCCAGGGGGAAGAAGAAGCCGGAGGAGAGGCAGGCUCCAGGCAGCAGGCCAACAAGGGCAGGGGCUGAGGAGGACCUGAAGGUGCUGCCUGUGUCUGCCGGGCCCAGGAGGACAGGCCGUGGUUGUUCAUCCUGCUGACCCAGUGGUGGCCGGCAGCAGAGAGGAUGAAGCUGGGAGGACGUUUGCUCCAGUGAAUCUGAUGUCCCAGACUUCUGGAGAUGCCGGUGAGCAUGUCACUUGGGGUGUUACAAGACUUCCUUUAGCAGCGUGACAAGCACAAAUCAACCCUGGGUCUUGGCUGCCACCCUCACCAGCCCCAGGACAGUGGUGAAGUUGGUGUGGUAAUAUGGUCCUGCAGGAUGUCUGCUCUCGGAGUUGUGGCAGCAGAAGUUGACUGAGCUGGCCACCAGAUGUCAUUCAGGUGAUGUGGGGUCCUGCAGGAUGCUGCAGUGCUUGGAGCCACAGCGAUGGGAGAUUAACUGUCCAUCAGUCAUCCCUCAGGUGGUCCUGCUAGAAGUCGCUGCCCUUGGAAUGACCAAGCCAGCUGUCGGUCAUCCUUCAGGAGCUGUUGUUCUGUCCUGUCUGGAGAGAAGAGAAGUUUGUAAUGUCUGAAGAAUGUUCCAUUGACUCGCUGCUGUUCACUGGCAAUGCAUGUACUGUACCGAGAACACUUACCCAUGAGAAGACUUUGAACAAUAAAUGCUCACAGCUUGUCUACGGAGACCUUGAGAAGUAAUUUGGAGAAUAUUUUUGAAGGCCUGGAAAUUCCUCCUGAUCAAUUACUUUCAAUCAAGUAUAAAACAAACAAAGUUGAAUAAGGAAGCAAUCUAUAUCAAAGAAACAUUAUAGACUAAUUUUGAAGGCCUGGAAAUUCCUCCUGAUCAAUUAAACUUACAAUCAAGUAUAAAACAAAGUUGAAUAAGGAAGCAAUCUAUAUCAAAGAAACAUUAUAGACUGCUUAAUCCAUUGGAGGUAUAAUUUUGAAGGCCUGAAAAUUCCACCUCACCAAUUUAACUUCCAAUCAAAGUACAAGAGUUAAAGUGGAAUAAGGAAGCGAUAUAUCAAAGAAAUAGUAAUAACUUCUUAAUCCAUUGAAAGUAAAAUAAAUUAUGGAGUUGAAGGAGAUCCAUUGGAAGUAAAGUAAAUUAUGGUUUAUAUAACAAAAGUAAGAAAAGUCACCUUGGUAACAACAUUAGGAAAAGCUUAGAACACACACAAAUGCAUUACUUUAUUACAUGUAUAAGAUUCUACCAUCGAUUCAUAAAAGAGUAAAAACAGACAUCUUAGUAAAAACAUAUCCUCUAACAACUUACAAUAAAACCUACUCCCAGUUCCUCGCCACUGACUAGAUUACUUAAACUACUGAGCUGCGAGGCGGAUGGGCGGGCAAGUGGACGACCUGAGACAUGACCCGAUACACAAAGUGACCUGCAGCUUAAGUGUACACAGGCAGCUCCUUUGACAGCACAGAGACUUGACUGACUUGCCUUGAAAUCUAAGUGGAAUGACUAACCCGUAGCCAAAGUGUACAAGCCGAUUCUUAAAUAGCAAUGUUAAUGAUCAAGUUGUGAGUAAGAGUAUAGCAUCGCAGGUCAAAAGAUGCUAGAAAUCACCCUCGUGAGGCACAAACAAAUAUCACAACCCCGAGACUGACUGACUUGCCUUGAAAUCUAAGUGGAAUGAUUGCUCUGUAGCCAUACAAACUAAUCCUUAUCCAGCAAAGGGGAAUGAUCAAGUCUAAGUACAGGUAUAGCCUUAGAGGACGAAACCACAGUUACUCGUACCCUUUGCCUAUCAGGGAGACAAAAGGGGAGGGGAGAAUACACUACAGGGAACUACAGUAUGUUUCGAGAUGCCUAGCAGAGGGAACUGAUGAGGUUACACCCCUUAA